Molecule: long non-coding RNA, 4558 nt
Filed under: Sus scrofa (pig)
Lineage: Eukaryota; Metazoa; Chordata; Mammalia; Artiodactyla; Suidae
Description: lncRNA (ENSSSCG00050028916.1)
Source: RNAcentral
CAGCCACAGCCACAGCCACAGAAAGGGGGAAUCCAAGUUGUGUAUGUGACCUACACUGUAGCAGCUUGCAGCAUCACCAGAUCCUUAACCCACUGAGCGAGGCCGGGGUUGAACCCACAUCCUCACGGACACUAUGUUGGGUCUUAACUCACUGGGCCACAAUGGGAACUCCUGAUAUAUUUCUUAUAUAGGAGCUGAGGCUAUUAAGUAAUAACAUAAAUUCCAGAAGAGCUUUGUGCAUUUAGUCUCAUUACUUUAUAGCCUCAUUUUCUGUGAGUGUUUCUUAGUGCUCAGAGAAUGUGUUUGUGAGUCUGUGAUUGUAUCAUUUUCCCUGAUAAUAGCUAAGAACUUUUUAGCUGUAUUCCUAUUGUGCCUUAGAUUGAGUGGGUUGCUUGGUUGUAUGAUAAGUGAGUGAACGAAUAAAAUGCACUAAAAUCCACGUACGUAUCUAACUGGUCUCCUUGUUUCUGUCCUCUUCCUCUCCACUUUUAUUCUAAGCAGCAAUACAACUUAAUUUUUCCCUUACCAAAAAGAUUCAAAUUCUCCCAUUUUCCUCAUAGCCAAGGCCUAUUAUGUUAGAGGGACAGGAAAGAGCUUCUGUGGUCUGGUACCACCCUCCCUCUUCAACCUAAUUUCCUACUUCUUCACCCCACAAGCUCUCCACCCCAAUCAAACUGGCCCAGGAGCUCUCUGUCAAGCCGGAUGGACCACCACAUUUCCGCCUUGACUCACUCUAGAAUGCACCUCACUUCACCUUACUUUGUUCAGCUUUUCCUAAAGCUUUAAUGGCAUAUAAUACAACAGCAAUCACAAGAAUAACAAUAAAAAUAAUAGCAGCAGCGGUGGCGGUCAUAGUGGUAAUAAUAGUAGAACUGACAUUUGUACAGCUGGUACAGUUUAGUAAAGAACACAGGUUUGAGGCCAGAUGCCUGAGUUUUAAUCACGUUUCUCAAAAUUCCAAGUUGUGUGAGUUCAGGCAAGUCAUUUAACCUCUCUGCAUUUUAGCAUUCAUAUCUUUAAAAUGGGAAUAAGGAUGCACCUACAUCACAGGUUUUUGUGAAGAGGAAAUGAGUGAACACAUGUAAGGAGUGCUUAGAACAUAAUAAAUGGUCAAUAAAAUUAGCUCUAAUUACAUAGCAUUUAUCAUGUAUCAGGCAGUAUACAGUUUUGUUUUUUUAAUGUCUUAAAUAAUUUUCUCAGUAACCCCUGAGGUAGAACCAAUUGUUUUCUCCCAAGUUUAGCUCCAUGUUACUUCUGAAAGUAACUGAGUCAAGUUAUUUAACCCAAAUUCACCCAGCAUGGGAAUGGUUGGGCUGUAAUCCAAAUCCAAACAGCCAAACUCCAGAGCCUGGCUCUUAACUGCUGUGAUUUUACUUCUUCCAAGAGCCACUGAAAAUCUUGCUUCAUCAGUUGAGAUUUUCUUCACUGCUGGAUGUUUCGAUAUUUUAAAACUUUCAGAGUUUAAAUGCCUGUUUGAUAGUAACAUUACUUGAGUGUUCAUUAGGUACUAAGUCUCUAAUAAAACUGCAUUAAUUCAUCAAUUUGAUGUUUGCAAUUUGAUAUUUCAAAUCUUCUCUUAUGUUGUCAUGAAAAUCAUUUGUAUGGUAUCUGAGAGGUGAGUCCUAACUCCUAUGUUCUCUUGUAUAUCCAGUGUACCUCGCAAAACAUUCUUUAAAUGUAAUAAGUGCUUGUCAGAAGCACUGUCAUGGUGUGUUGGGAAUGAUAAUGGUAAUGACACUGAUAAUAGCUAAGUAUCUUAUAAGCAUGUAUAAUAAUUUUAGUUUGAACAUAUAUUAUGUGAAGCAAGGCAAUUACUCUAGAGAGUUUUGCAAGGAUAAAAUGAAAACCUUUUUGUUAGAUGGCUCUGCUGCAAAACUAAGAGCUGGGAUCCUCAGUUUUAGACCCCUGCUUUGUCAACAUGAUGUGUGUUAUCUUGAGGGUGUCAUUCACUGCUAUGUGUCUCAUUUGAAUUAUCUGUAAAAAAUAUGUUAGCAAAAUAUUCAGCUGGUCUGCCUCAUAAAGGUAGUAAGGUCCAAAGAAGAUAACGUGUGUGAAGGAGUUCCCCAAAUGACACAAUGAACCCUUGACAAGGAGGAAGGUUGUAUUUCAAGUAAGAGCUGCUUAAUCCCAAAUUGUGAACAUUACUGUAGCAUAGAUUUUCCUCAUAAAAUGCAUUCAAUUACAACUAUAAAUUUUUAAGUUUCUUCUUUAAAACCUUAAUUAAAAUUACUGGGUGUGUAACAAUAAAAGGAAAACAGUACAGCUGCCUUGAGCCGUGAUUCAUGGGUCCACGAGGGUCACUCGCCAACAAUUGUUCACAACUUAAGGUGUGCUCUAAGGACCAGCAUCACUCACACCCCAGAGAAAAAUACAGAAUCUCAGGUGCCUCUCUGGAGAGUCAGCAUAUGAAUUUUCAUAAAAUAUCCUUUGGUGAUGCCUGUGUAGAUUAAAUGUAAGUCACUGUCAUAAGCGCCUCAAUUACCUUGCAUGUUUGCCUUCAAUAACAGCCGAUUUGAAUUCACACCAGAGCAAAAGCAUCUAUUACAGAAUUUCAGGGAUAUCCAAGACAAUACCCAACAUGUCAAAACCACAAAUCUUAAAUCCCAGGAUUCUCAAAGAUUUCAGUAGUGGGCUAUAUACGUAAAACAUGUAAUCACUACCAAUAACUGGAGCGAUUCAAGUAGUAUGUCUACCAAGUGAUACUGCUUGAUAAAAGGGGCUAGCCUUAGAUUCAAAGAUUAAUAAUUGCAUUCUUCUUGAAAUUACUCAUCUAGAGCACCUAAGGGCAUGUGAAGGAGAAGGAGCAAUUAGCUGGUGAAUGCAGAAUGCGUAGGUGGCUAAUUUUCUCUUUGGAAAAAAAAAAAGUUGUGUUUUUUUUUUCCCCCAAAUGAAGGUUAUGGCAUGUCUUGGUGAGUUUCUGACCUACUGCGUAUACAGGAGCUCAACUUGUACACAUUGAUGACUUUGCAGGCUAUUGCCCAUACCUGUCCAGUUUGAGUGAAUUAAUGAAGUAAAUUUUAAUUCACUAAAUAAUUCACAAACUUUUGAGACACAAUCAUUGUCAACAGCCCCUGAUCCCAAGAUAAUAUUGGAACACAAAGCUCAUUACCAUUUUACCAAAGCAGAAAUUAUAUUGCUUCAAUAUUGUCCACUAAGAAACAGAGUGGAGACCAAAAAUAUUUAAAAUAUUUUGCUUUGUUCACCAUUCUCCAAAUUUAAUUAUUUUUAAAAGCAAUGUUUAUAGUGGGUCCCUAUGGGUGUUUAAGGUUGGUCAAGUCUACAGGAGCCGUGAAAUGAAAUAUAGAGGCAAUUAUCUGGGUAAUUCGGGAUAAUUUGCUUCCACCUGAAUUGUAAUUGAGACAAUAAUGGGAAUGACACUUCCAUGAGGACAUGGAUUUUUGUCUGUGUUGUUCAUUAAUGUACUCCAAGUUUUCUUAGAGUAAGAAUUUUGUUCAGUUCUGCUACAACCUAAGCUCUGAAAAGCAGGUACACAGUAGGUGAUCAAUAAACAUUCCCUUAAAAAAUGAAUCCCAAAGUUCCUUGUAUACCUAAUUUUAUUAUGGAAAAAAAAUCUAAUAUUGGAGAUGUAUCAUAACACCUUACAAGAUUUUCACAAGCGAAAAACACAGUCAACUAAUUGAUUUUUGUACAUACUGGCCACUUACAAUUCUUUUUAUUUCAUUGGAUUUUCUGAUUAUUAGGUCAAAUCUAACCCAUCUAUCAAGAAUUUAAUAUCAUGAGAGACAACAUGAAAUAAUUAAAAGAACACAGAUAAUGAAAUUAGUCAGAAAUUGGUGUGAAUCCUAACUCUAACACCAGGUGCAAAACCUUGGACAAGUUAUUCAACCUCUAAGUUUCAAAUAGUUAAAAAAUAAGAACAGUAAUGUGUUCUUUACAAGAAAAUAGAACUUUAAUGUGAUAACCUCACUGAAAGUACUUGUCUGGCAUUCAAAGAUAUCAGUUAUUUAACUAAUGUUAAAGUUAUUUGUGUAAACACAAUUUGAAUGAAUUUUGCUACAGGUCAGUGAGCAUAUGUCCCUAACUUUAGAAUAUGAUGCAAACUAGAAAGGAUUAGAAGCGGAUAAAAAGGAGUCUCCACUCUGUCCUAGGACCCAGGUUCGAUCUCCAGCCUGGUACUGUGGGUUAAGGAUCUGGCAUUACUUAAGAUUCACCUUUCCACUUGAGUCAACUCAUCCAGCUUUACAAGGAACGUCUAAGGUCAUUAGACCUCAAAUGUCUUAGUCAUCCUGAAAGACUUACUUUGAUAUUUUCUCCUUGCCCACCUUGAAUGAUUUUCACUGUUUUUUUUUCUGCUGAACUUUGUUUGUGGCAUUUUGACACAGAUACAGAUUUGAGGGGAAAAUCAAUCUCAGGAGAAGGUCUUUAUGAUACUAAACUUUUCUACAAAAUUCUACAAAAUGAGCACAAUUUUCACUUAAAAUAAAGAUCAUAGUUAUGCCUGGAGCUUAACCUUUCUUGCUGCUCAAUAUUAUCAUAACCUGGGGGAAAGUGUAGCCUGUCUAUAACAAUCAGACUCCCAGCAAAGUGUGAUUUCAUU